This 433-nucleotide ribosomal RNA is filed under the name uncultured bacterium. Its description in RNAcentral is "partial 16S ribosomal RNA". It matches the Rfam family "Bacterial small subunit ribosomal RNA", at positions 29 to 507 of the family's 1533-position model. The record is from RNAcentral.
AACGAACGCUGGCGGCAUGCCUAACACAUGCAAGUCGAACGAGACCUUCGGGUCUAGUGGCGCACGGGUGCGUAACGCGUGGGAACCUGCCCUUAGGUUCGGAAUAACUCCCCGAAAGGGGUGCUAAUACCGGAUAAUGUCUUCGGACCAAAGGUUUAUCGCCUUUGGAUGGGCCCGCGUUGGAUUAGCUAGUUGGUAGGGUAAAAGCCUACCAAGGCGACGAUCGAUAGCUGGUCUGAGAGGAUGAUCAGCCACACUGGGACUGAGACACGGCCCAGACUCCUACGGGAGGCAGCAGUGGGGAAUAUUGGACAAUGGGCGAAAGCAUGAUCCAGCAAUGCCGCGUGAGUGAUGAAGGCCUUAGGGUUGUAAAGCUCUUUUACCCGGGAUGAUAAUGACAGUACCGGGAGAAUAAGCUCCGGCUAACUCCGUG